AAGAACCACAGGGAUUGCCUCAGUAACGGCGAGUGAAGCGGCAACAGCUCAAAUUUGAAAUCUGGCCUUUACGGUCCGAGUUGUAAUUUGUAGAGGAUGUUUUGGGUACCGCCGCGGGUUAAUUUUCUUGGAACAGAAAGCCAAAGAGGGUGAGAGUCCCGUCUUGGCCUGCGGUAGGGCUCGUGUAAAACUCCUUCGACGAGUCGACUAGUUUGGGAAUGCUGGUCAAAAUGGGUGGUAAAUGUCAUCUAAAGCUAAAUAUUGGCCAGAGACCGAUAGCGCACAAGUAGAGUGAUCGAAAGAUGAAAAGCACUUUGAAAAGAGAGUUAAACAGUAUGUGAAAUUGUUGAAAGGGAAGCGCAGGCAACCAGACUCGUGCGCGGGGUUCCCCCUUGCUUCUGCUUGGGUUACUUCCCCGUGUCCGGGCCAUCAUCAGUUUUGGGGGCCGGUCAAAGGCUCUGGGAAUGUAUCCUCGCCUUCGGGAGAGGACUUAUAGCCCAGGGUGUCAUGCGGCCACCCGGGACUGAGGAACGCGCUUCGGCGAGGAUGAUGGCGUAAUGGUUGUCUGCGACCCGUCUUGAAACACGGACCAAGGAGUCUAACAUCUAUGCGAGUGUUCGGGUGUCAAACCCUUGCGCGGAAUGAAAGUGAACGGAGGUAGGAAGGCUUAAGCCUGCACUAUCGACCGAUCCUGAUGUCUUCGGAUGGAUUUGAGUAAGAGCAUAGCUGUUGGGACCCGAAAGAUGGUGAACUAUGCGUGAAUAGGGUGAAGCCAGAGGAAACUCUGGUGGAGGCUCGCAGCGGUUCUGACGUGCAAAUCGAUCGUCAAAUUUGCGUAUAGGGGCGAAAGACUAAUCGAACCAUCUGGUAGCUGGUUCCUGCCGAAGUUUCCCUCAGGAUAGCAGUAACGUUUUCAGUUUUAUGAGGUAAAGCGAAUGAUUAGAGGCCUUGGGGUUGAAACAACCUUAACCUAUUCUCAAACUUUAAAUAUGUAAGAAGUCCUUGUUACUUAAUUGAACGUGGACAUUUGAAUGUAUCGUUACUAGUGGGCCAUUUUUGGUAAGCAGAACUGGCGAUGCGGGAUGAACCGAACGCGAGGUUAAGGUGCCGGAAUGCACGCUCAUCAGACACCACAAAAGGUGUCAAUGCAUCUAGACAGCCGGACGGUGGCCAUGGAAGUCGGAAUCCGCUUAGGAGUGUGUAACAACUCACCGGCCGAAUGCAUUGGCCCUGAAAAUGGAUGGCGCUUAAGCGUGCUACCCAUACCUCGCCGUUAGAGUUGACAUGAUGCUCUAACGAGUAGGCAGGCGUGGAGGUCCCGUGACGAAGCCUUGG
RNAcentral lists this ribosomal RNA (1335 nucleotides) under Knufia mediterranea. Its description in RNAcentral is "LSU rRNA". It matches the Rfam family "Eukaryotic large subunit ribosomal RNA", at positions 56 to 1414 of the family's 3401-position model. The record is from RNAcentral. Lineage: Eukaryota; Fungi; Ascomycota; Eurotiomycetes; Chaetothyriales; Trichomeriaceae.